Molecule: long non-coding RNA, 271 nt
Filed under: Elaeis guineensis (African oil palm)
Lineage: Eukaryota; Viridiplantae; Streptophyta; Magnoliopsida; Arecales; Arecaceae
Description: long non-coding RNA (EGUI_LNC075313)
Source: RNAcentral
UCUUAAAGUGAUCUGGUAGAGUACCACAUCAGCCAGACAGAUACUUAGAUUUCUUGAUCUGGGAUGGGGACCCUAUUGAACUCGAUGAGAACAAUGAGGAUCCGAUCACCUACAUGGAUGCGAUGUAGAGAUCUGACUCUAACAAAUGGCUUGAAGUCAUGAAAUCCAAAAUGAAGUCUAUGAAGGUCAACGAUGUAUGGAUAUUGGUUGACCCAUCUGAAAGGGUUAAACCUAUAGGGUAUAAGUGGGUCUUCAAGAGGAAGAGGGGCAC